AACGAACGCUGGCGGCAUGCCUAACACAUGCAAGUCGAACGAGACCUUCGGGUCUGGUGUCGCACGUUUGCUUAAUGCGUUGUAACCUGCCCUUAGAUUCGGUAUAACUCCGCGAAGUGCGUGCUGAUACCUGAUAAUUUCUUUGGACCAAAGAUUUAUCGCCUUUGGGUGGGCCCGCGACGUAUUAGCUAGUUGGUAGGGUAAAAUCCUAUCAAGGCGACGAUCCAUAGCUGGUCUGAGAGGAUGAUCAGCAACACUGGGAAUGAGACACGGCCCAGACUCCGACGGGAGGCAGGAGUGGGGAAUAUUGGAAAACGAGCGACAGUCUGAUCCAGCAAUGCAGCGUGAGUGAUGAAGGCCUUAGGGUUGUAAAGCUCUUUUACCCGGGAUGCUACUGACAGUACCGGGAGCAUAAGCUCCGGCUAACUACGUG
This 433-nucleotide ribosomal RNA is filed under the name uncultured bacterium. RNAcentral's name for it is "partial 16S ribosomal RNA". It matches the Rfam family "Bacterial small subunit ribosomal RNA", at positions 29 to 507 of the family's 1533-position model. The record is from RNAcentral.